This is a long non-coding RNA of Oncorhynchus tshawytscha (Chinook salmon), 2814 nucleotides long. RefSeq lists it as uncharacterized. NCBI's taxonomy places the organism in Eukaryota, Metazoa, Chordata, Actinopteri, Salmoniformes, Salmonidae. The record is from RefSeq and is a predicted model, not a curated record. The transcript has 3 exons.
CAUGUUAUUACUCCAACCUCGUGAAAGUGACAAACUGACACGUUUUUAGUUAUUGCACAUGCGCAGCUUGGCGCGAGACAACCGUUACACCCGAUUACGUGUUUUUGCGCAUGAGCAGUUGCCGGGGUCACGUGCUAGUUGGAACUAGGAAACUCCGAUAUUUCCAACAUUCGUUGAACGCGGCACGUGUAUAACUACAACCAGUUAGGAGGUUGGACAUUUCCGAGUUUCGACAAGCACUUGGACGCGGCACCAGCUAGCCAACGUCGCCAUGACAUCGCCUACAAGCGUGAUCAGUACCCGACCUCUGUGCGGGACACUUCAGGUGCAUGUUUGGUUAGUGAGAGGGCAACCUGAAUAACCCAGAGAAAGAAUAUGAGACCUGGGAGGAAAUGUGUUUCCUUCCUGAAAGUCAGAAAGCAGUACUUCUCCUCUUUUCCAACCCCAGUCUGACGCACAUGCGUCCUCCAGGGAAGUGGGGAAGUGGGGAGGUGGGGAGGGCAAACAGAAAAAGAUUGGGUAAUUCAUUUUUUUUUUUAAAUGUUGUGGUUUCUUCGGUUGGAAAACUAUUUGGUGAUGGUUCCUUAUUCACUUUUCACGGAUCUACACACUUCACAGUUUUCACAUCUUUGCCUUUUCCACACAGGUUUCAAUAACUUUAUCCAUGGCAUAGACACACAUGUACAGAGCACAUGAUUCGGAGUUCUUCUGUUGAAGUCUAUCAUAAUGUCAUGCUGAUCUGGCACUGGUGUAUAAGAAGAAUAAAGAGCAAACAUCUUAGCUCUCAUGUUCUCCUUCAUGUAUUUAGCCUAUCCCUGCACAUGAAUUAAGUUUAUGGUCGUGAGAAACAAUAGCACACUGCGCCUUUAAAUAAAGGAAUGUGAACAAUCCACUGCUGUGCCCAGGCAUUGGGGCUGGAAUUGGUUGGAAUGUUGGCAGAAGUUUCAUCUCCCCACAGCUCUUUCCCAGGCCAGGUGUUGGAAAUGCAGGAAAACUAUCUGAAAAGAGGGAAUAGAGCAGUGUGGGUGAACGUGGGAGUGCAGGGUUAGUGAGAGAUACACAGAGGUCCAAUUAGAACCCAAGCUCUCUAGACAUGAAGUUAUCCAGCCUAUAUAGUUCUACUGAAAAGACAUAAAAUGGGAGGGAAAAACCUGACUGAGAUUUACUGCUCCUCCUUAUCGGCCGUCUCUUCGUCUGCUCUCUAAACAGAGAUUUAUGGCUUUGGCAAUAUCAGGUAUUUGAUAAGUGUUCAUCACGAAAUGCACGCAUACAAGCACCUGGCCUAACUGGGUGCUGGGCCACUGACUGUAGUGAUGCCUGUAGAACAUCGUUCCGGGAGUAGCUAGUCUAUACUUUAUUAUUGUGUAGUUUAGCCCUGUAUGGUGACUCAGUGAUAGGUCAAUGUAGUUUGAACCACUGAAGUUAAUCUUUAUGUUAUGUAACAAAGAUGAGAUGACCCUCAAUGUUAUUGAAAUAGAUCUCGCUCUAUGCAACAGCCACAACAUACCAACCUCCUAUUACAAAGCGUGAUCCACAGCAUCAAACCAAGGGCAUUAGCACUGGGUAAUACCCUGGAUUCAACUAAUUGAUGUAAACAAGUCUAUCACUCCCAUAGCAUCUGGACAUUAAAAACUAGGUGGGCCUCAUUUCACUCACCUAGUUUUGCAUUCAGAAAGACAAUUUUGGUUGGCAUUGCUAAGAGUAAGAGUUUGUGUAAUCCUCUCACUCAUUCUCUCUCUCCCUCACACACACACACACAAACACUCCCAUGCAGAGGCAGCACACGGCCAGUGUAGGGUGAGUCACAGUGACCUGGCAGAGAGUGCCUCCCCUUGGGAGAGUCCUUACAUGCAUCCCUGUGAUUAUGGCCAAAUCCCCUGAGGGCAUCAGGUGGGCCUUCUCUCUGAGCAACGUGAGACCGCCACCCAUUGUUAGGUCCACAAUGCUGAGCUUACUUGAAAGGUGAUUUCGCAAGAUGAAAAGGGUUUAGCAGUGUAUAUCAAUUGAUAGCUGUUUUUGGCCCAGUUCUCCUCCUUUUAUAGUGUUGUGUUCCAGUUGUAGUCUAAUAUGACACCAGUAUCGUAAGUUUAAAAACAUUUUCAUUUUGAAGCAUAUACUAUCAGGCAUAGCAAUCCUAUAUGAAUCAUCGCUGCAUGCAGAAACAUCUUUGUUCUGGUGCUGACGAGAUCUGCCUGCUGUCCCCUCACCAGAGCCCCAUGCAGGGGCAGACUGGCCAUCUGGCAUUUCGGCAAAUGGGCCACAAGAAAAAAAAUGGUCCGAUGUGUUAGAAAUAACAGGGCCAAUUUCUAGUCCCAAUCUGCCCCUGGCCCCAUGGGCACAGGAUGGUUGACCUCCCUCCUCUGGGAAAAAGCAUCUUAGCUUCACACAACACAUGGAGAUUAUAUUAUACAACCACUGUGUCAUGUAUAAUGUAUUUAACAAUCUAAAAGCUACAUUAUGACAAGACUGUUACAUUUAACUGGCCCUUCUGCAUUUUCCCCAUGUUGAAUUUAGGCCCAGUUGCUUAAUAAGAAUGUAUCAGUUUAUUGAACACAACACUAUAAAGGAGGAGAACGGGGCCAAAAACGGCUAUCAAUUGAUAUACACUGCUAAACCCUUUUCAUCUUGUGAAAUGUUUGUAUCACCAGUAAUUGUUUGGUUUGUUUAUAUUACUUGAAUAUCUGUAGUGAAGAACAGAGUGAACAAAACAUUAGGAACACCUGCACUUUUCAUGAUAUAGACUGAUAGGGUGAAUGCAGAUGAAAGCUAUGAUCCCUUAUUGAUGUCACCUGUUAAAUCCACUUCAAUCAUUGU